Molecule: ribosomal RNA, 96 nt
Filed under: Caerostris darwini
Lineage: Eukaryota; Metazoa; Arthropoda; Arachnida; Araneae; Araneidae
Source: RNAcentral
AAAACUACCGGUUCUCGUUCGAUCACCGAAGUCAAGCAUCAUAGGGCGCGGUCAAUACUUGGGAGGGUGACCACCUAGGAACACCACGUGCCGUUG